Passer domesticus (house sparrow) is the source of this 1508-nucleotide long non-coding RNA. RefSeq lists it as uncharacterized. The record is from RefSeq and is a predicted model, not a curated record. Lineage: Eukaryota; Metazoa; Chordata; Aves; Passeriformes; Passeridae. The transcript is spliced from 3 exons.
UCUGCUGGCCAGUUACUCUCAACAGACAGGCAGUAUUAUCAGAGAGAUUGUUGCUAAAGAUGUCACAAAAGCCAGAGCCAAAUUCUGUCCCCAUUAAGGAGAUGCUCAGAGGACUUUGUCCCUGUGCAGUCUCAUGGCAUCUCUUCUGACUGCCCAUGCUGAGGACAGGCUCACUCUGGACUAGCAGGGCAUACAGGGCUGAAACAUAGAAAAAACUCUGAGGCACCACCGUAGAGAAGAUGUGAUGAGGAGAAAUGAAGUUGAUGACAUGACAGAACACAUGAAGAAAUUGGACAGAAAUCAGCAAGACUUUAUUAGGGAAGGCUCAUAUGGGAGCUGUUCCUGGAAAAACAACUGCUCUCUCAUUGUAAAGCAAUUAACUGGAAUUCACUGUCAAAGGCACCAUGGUCAAAAGGUGACAACCACUAACAGGAACACACCAGUUCACCACCAGGGAAUAGGCUGCAGCUGAGUUCCCAGUUCCUAAAGACUUUCAUUUUGUGGUCCUGUAAUAUUAGAGCACAUGACCCACCCACACCAGCUGAGAGCACUUAGCAGUACCCCCUCCCUCAUUCCAUGCCAUGGGAUGCAUUUCAGAAGCUCUUGACUAAGAAAACCCCACAUAACUCAAAAAUAACUGACAAGAAUAACAGAAAGACCACAAAAAGCACAUAAAAUAGAGUUGUUAACAGCUCAUAUUUGAACCAACAUGAUGGAAGUCUUACUGCAAGAGUGGGGCAGCCUCAGUGGUUACCCCAGUUAAAUGUAUCAAAUCAAAUGCAGAAUAUUCCCCAAUGCUGUUUAACAAAAUGUGGCCCCAGAGUGUUUGCAUAAGAGAGGACAUGUGCAGUGCAACUACCAAAGGACUCCUGGGCUUCUCCAUGUUAUCUCCCACAGAGCAUCCCAUAGCCUUUUCCUUAAGUUUGCAGGAGGCAGAACACAUUUUAUGACCUAAUAAUUAACAAAGAAAGGCUUAAAUUAUAUGAUAAUUUAAUGGCUGGGUUAGAGAGGGCUUGUGUUAUGAAAUGAGAUGUCUUACAGGAGCACUCUGGUGAAGUGCAGAUCCAAAAUAGAUCCAUUUUUAUUUGCAUGUGCUUUUUGGUCUAGAAUACCCAGUGAACCCUGCCAAAAUGACCAGCUGAUGCUGUGGCAGCCUUGUGAUUGCACCAAAUAGUACAAGAAAAAGGGACUGUCCUGCUUCUCUGAGCAGCUGUGUGAGCCCAGCAGCCCUGUAGCACAGCAUAUCAAUUACCCAGUAAUUACCCCCUCAGAUUCCUGUUGCUCGAAAAAAACAACACCAAAACAAACACAAACUUUUGCAUCUAGGUUUCACACAGAAAAGAUGAUGCUGGAGGGAGAGAACAGCAUUUUCACAUGAGUUCUUUCUUUCUAAAGGUCAGAGUCUGUAAAUUUUGACUUGUUGUAUAAGAGUUUGGAUUCACUAAAGCUUCUGAAACAGGUCAAAAAUAAAAGUAGUAGAGUCAGGCAGAGAAUAGUAAAAUAAGAGU